Molecule: ribosomal RNA, 326 nt
Filed under: Bacillus thuringiensis
Lineage: Bacteria; Bacillati; Bacillota; Bacilli; Caryophanales; Bacillaceae
Description: bacterial SSU rRNA
Rfam family: Bacterial small subunit ribosomal RNA
Source: RNAcentral
GAAGGUGGGGAUGACGUCAAAUCAUCAUGCCCCUUAUGACCUGGGCUACACACGUGCUACAAUGGACGGUACAAAGAGAUGCAAGACCGCGAGGUGGAGCUAAUCUCAUAAAACCGUUCUCAGUUCGGAUUGUAGGCUGCAACUCGCCUACAUGAAGCGGGAAUCGCUCGUAAUCGCGGAUCAGCAUGCCGCGGUGAAUUCGUUCCCGGGCCUUGUACACACCGCCCGUCACACCAUGAGUUUGUAACACCCCGAAGUCGGUGGGGUAACCUUUUUGGAGCCAGCCGCGUAAGGUGGGACAGAUGAUUGGGGUGAAGUCGAACAGG